This 527-nucleotide ribosomal RNA is filed under the name uncultured bacterium. RNAcentral's name for it is "bacterial SSU rRNA". It matches the Rfam family "Bacterial small subunit ribosomal RNA", at positions 777 to 1304 of the family's 1533-position model. The record is from RNAcentral.
AAUAGAUACCCAGGUAGUCCACGCCGUAAACGAUGUCGACUUGGAGGUUGUUCCCUUGAGGAGUGGCUUCCGGAGCUAACGCGUUAAGUCGACCGCCUGGGGAGUACGGCCGCAAGGUUAAAACUCAAAUGAAUUGACGGGGGCCCGCACAAGCGGUGGAGCAUGUGGUUUAAUUCGAUGCAACGCGAAGAACCUUACCUACUCUUGACAUCCACGGAACUUAGCAGAGAUGCUUUGGUGCCUUCGGGAACCGUGAGACAGGUGCUGCAUGGCUGUCGUCAGCUCGUGUCGUGAAAUGUUGGGUUAAGUCCCGCAACGAGCGCAACCCUUAUCCUUUGUUGCCAGCGGUUAGGCCGGGAACUCAAAGGAGACUGCCAGUGAUAAACUGGAGGAAGGUGGGGAUGACGUCAAGUCAUCAUGGCCCUUACGAGUAGGGCUACACACGUGCUACAAUGGCGCAUACAAAGAGAAGCGACCUCGCGAGAGCAAGCGGACCUCAUAAAGUGCGUCGUAGUCCGGAUUGGAGU